GACGAACGCUGGCGGCGUGCUUAACACAUGCAAGUCGAACGGAAAGGCCCUGCUUUUGUGGGGUGCUCGAGUGGCGAACGGGUGAGUAACACGUGAGUAACCUGCCCUUGACUUUGGGAUAACUUCAGGAAACUGGGGCUAAUACCGGAUAGGAGCUCCUGCUGCAUGGUGGGGGUUGGAAAGUUUCGGCGGUUGGGGAUGGACUCGCGGCUUAUCAGCUUGUUGGUGGGGUAGUGGCUUACCAAGGCCUUGACGGGUAGCCGGCCUGAGAGGGUGACCGGCCACAUUGGGACUGAGAUACGGCCCAGACUCCUACGGGAGGCAGCAGUGGGGAAUAUUGCACAAUGGGCGGAAGCCUGAUGCAGCAACGCCGCGUGCGGGAUGACGGCCUUCGGGUUGUAAACCGCUUUCGCCUGUGACGAAGCGUGAGUGACGGUAAUGGGUAAAGAAGCACCGGCUAACUACGUGCAGCAGCCGCGGUGAUACGUAGGGUGCGAGCGUUGUCCGGAUUUAUUGGGCGUAAAGGGCUCGUAGGUGGUUGAUCGCGUCGGAAGUGUAAUCUUGGGGCUUAACCCUGAGCGUGCUUUCGAUACGGGUUGACUUGAGGAAGGUAGGGGAGAAUGGAAUUCCUGGUGGAGCGGUGGAAUGCGCAGAUAUCAGGAGGAACACCAGUGGCGAAGGCGGUUCUCUGGGCCUUUCCUGACGCUGAGGAGCGAAAGCGUGGGGAGCGAACAGGCUUAGAUACCCUGGUAGUCCACGCUGUAAACGGUGGGUACUAGGUGUGGGGUCCAUUCCACGGGUUCCGUGCCGUAGCUAACGCUUUAAGUACCCCGCCUGGGGAGUACGGCCGCAAGGCUAAAACUCAAAGGAAUUGACGGGGCCCCGCACAAGCGGCGGAGCAUGCGGAUUAAUUCGAUGCAACGCGUAGAACCUUACCUGGGUUUGACAUGGAUCGGGAGCGCUCAGAGAUGGGUGUGCCUCUUUUGGGGUCGGUUCACAGGUGGUGCAUGGCUGUCGUCAGCUCGUGUCGUGAGAUGUUGGGUUAAGUCCCGCAACGAGCGCAACCCUUGUUCACUGUUGCCAGCACGUUAUGGUGGGGACUCAGUGGAGACCGCCGGGGUCAACUCGGAGGAAGGUGGGGAUGACGUCAAGUCAUCAUGCCCCUUAUGUCCAGGGCUUCACGCAUGCUACAAUGGCUGGUACAGAGAGUGGCGAGCCUGUGAGGGUGAGCGAAUCUCGGAAAGCCGGUCUCAGUUCGGAUUGGGGUCUGCAACUCGACCUCAUGAAGUCGGAGUCGCUAGUAAUCGCAGAUCAGCAACGCUGCGGUGAAUACGUUCCCGGGGCU
RNAcentral lists this ribosomal RNA (1345 nucleotides) under uncultured bacterium. RNAcentral describes it as "bacterial SSU rRNA". It matches the Rfam family "Bacterial small subunit ribosomal RNA", at positions 28 to 1381 of the family's 1533-position model. The record is from RNAcentral.